UACGAAGGUCCCGAGCGUUGUUCGGAAUCACUGGGCGUAAAGGGUGCGUAGGCGGGUCUUUAAGUCCGGGGUGAAAUCCUGGAGCUCAACUCCAGAACUGCCUUUGAUACUGAAGAUCUUGAGUUCGGGAGAGGUGAGUGGAACUGCGAGUGUAGAGGUGAAAUUCGUAGAUAUUCGCAAGAACACCAGUGGCGAAGGCGGCUCACUGGCCCGAUACUGACGCUGAGGCACGAAAGCGUGGGGAGCAAACAGG
This 253-nucleotide ribosomal RNA is filed under the name uncultured bacterium. RNAcentral's name for it is "partial 16S ribosomal RNA". It matches the Rfam family "Bacterial small subunit ribosomal RNA", at positions 524 to 776 of the family's 1533-position model. The record is from RNAcentral.